Molecule: long non-coding RNA, 2658 nt
Organism: Vidua macroura (Pin-tailed whydah)
Lineage: Eukaryota; Metazoa; Chordata; Aves; Passeriformes; Viduidae
Exons: 3
Source: RefSeq, a predicted model, not a curated record
UGUAUAGCAACCCUGGGAGCUGGAGGCAUGGCCGCGUGCGCUGCUUGGCGCUGGCACCAGCCUUGUGUGUGCUGUGCACGGUAUGGACGACAGUGAUCCUUGGUGAGCUGCGGGCAGGAGAAACAGCCAGAACAGUUCUGUCCUAAUGCAUGGUGCAGCCAGGGGAGAAGGAAAAGGGACAAAACUCCUGCUCAUCUUUCCUAGAGCUUACACUUCCUGUGGAGGAGGAACUCUGUGCUGUCCCCAUGGAAUGGGAAGGACUUGGAUGCUGCACUAAGACUUCUCUCUUCAGCCCUUAUGAGCAGGUCCUGUGUUAUGUGGAAGCACGCACCAGUCUAGUCUGGAUGAAGAAAGUACGUCAGAAAACCCAAGAGGAUUACUUGCUUUGAAAAUUUCUCUCAUGCAAUUGUUUUAUCUUUCUAAUAAAAAAAAUUGCUUUAAAAAUAAAAUAAUGAUAAGUCAUGCUGGGAAAACCAAUUCCAAUGUGAUAAAACUCUUACAGUGUGAAGCAAGAACCACUCAAUUCAACUGCAAGGAGAAGGACAUGUUAUUUAAUCACACAGAAGGUUAGAGAACAGCAUCAAAUAUGCAUCUUUUAUCUUUGUUUCCAUUUUUUUUCUAGUCCAUUUCUGACUGGAUUUCUUUAGUAUUGCACAGACUUGAGUUACAUCUUGUGCAUCUUGUGGAAGAAAAUAUGUAUCCUAAUAGUGCUUUUGAAUAUAGUUAAAAUGACUUCAGCAAGGCUACAGUAGGUCAGUGGCAGAGCUUGGAAAAGAAGUUAGGUGAUGUUUUGCCCAGUUCUAUAUAUUUUAAUUAGCAAACUGGCCUGCCUCCCUGAAUUGCAAUGGCAUUGUGAUACCUAAAUGUUCAGAGGCCUAAACUUUAUAUACUAACCCUAACACAGAGAAUUUCUUGAACAGACUUUAAGAAAAUAUUGCUAUAGCUUCUUUACCAGUUGUGCUCUAACCUGCUUUUUGUGUGGUAUUCAAGGAUAAUUUUGACAAUAGAAUUAUCUUUUAGGGAAUAUAAAAUACCAGGUAUUAAAAGGGGUAGAUCUAGACAGGGCAGGAAUUUGCUGUCAGGAUGAUGUUCUAAAACAACUUCUGAAAAAUUAACAUGCUACGAAAAUAAUUUUUUUUUUUAAUAUUAUGCUCUUUUAUUUUUCUUUUAGAAAAGAAAAUGAAGCCUUCCAUUAUAAGACUAUUUAGUUUUGAGUAAAUUGUGUGUUUCCCUUUUGUGGUGUAUUUCUUUAGUCAAUUUAUUUUUUGCAUGCCUAUUGCUCCCAGUCUCAGCUGGUCUGAUCUUGCUUGCCAACUGGUAUUUGCCACUAAGAUGCAGAAUCAUAGUUUUCUUUGAGAAGCUUGGUACAUGAUGGCAGUCAUUGUCUCAUAGAAGAGGAUGAAGGAUACAGACGAUCACCCCUGUGGGUCUCAUGAAAAAUGCAAUAGAGAAAGAGCCCAGCAAAUUGAAACAAUAUUUUUCAAUUCAUGAAUAGUAAAAAUUCGAAUGUCUUCCCAAAAUAACCCUGAAGUUUUAUUUCUUAUUGAAAAUUCUUUUUAAAAAUCCCAACAAAACAAAACAGUUGAUAUUUACUUUAUCAUCCCAAGUUAGGAAAAAAUGUUGAACAAAAAAGUUUUUUAUCAGAUUGAAUUUCCAUAUUUUUUUCAGCUCUAAUUAUGAUAAGGUUGUACAAGGAAUAAUUUUAUUCUUUCUAUUCUGUCUCAUCCUUUUUCCAUCCUAGACAAUGAAAAUAGUUUAAUCUAGCAGCUUUUGCAUUGUGGUCUGUGCACCAGAGCUGGCUUGUAAAACUUUUUCUUUCAGCGGUUUUAUUGUUCAAGAACUGAUGCUUCCUGUUACUUCUCGCCAUGCAUUUUGGUUUUGUGAAUGAGUAUGCUUAGAUAAAAGAAUAAUACAAAUCAUGUCUAUAUCUUUUGUACAGCUUUAUGUUAUACUUAAAUAAAAAUUAUACCAGAACUGCAGAGGUAACAACUCUUCUGAAAGACUGAGUUAACAGGAAUAAGAACAGUCAGCAGUGAAUAAGAGAAAUCUGGGAUGCCUUCACUUCAGAUAUUCAGCAAGGGAGAGGAAACACCACAGGUAAAACAUAAGAUGGAGUGUUGCUCUUACUGCACAUAGUUUAAACUUGAUGGUAUAAGAACUGUGCUUUGGGCUGCUUUUCAAGGAAGGGAAAACGAAUGGGGUUUUAGUUCAUGGCAGGGACUAGCAAACACAGUAGGAUCAAUUGCAAUUUAAAUAGAUAAGUGAAAGCUGCAUGAUCUUACUUGCUGUGUCAUACUGAUUUUCAUUUCCAUGAUGCCUUUUACAGUUUUGUUUUUCUAGUGUUUUAUGCUUGUGUAGUUUGAAGGUUACUGUGUACGUGAUUAGAUUCACUCCCUACUGGGAUAUAGGCCAAGAUAUUCAAAGUGAUUUUUUAUUUUGAGCACCUCCAUUUUUUAAGGGUCCAAACCAGAGAAGUUUUGGAGUAGGGAAACUCAGUUGCUUGUGUGGUUUGUCAACAUGACAUGGAAAGACAAAAGAAGAAAAAAUGGGUGUGAACAAAAUCCUUGUUCAUUUUUCAUUGUGUCGGUGUCUGAUCUUUGGUUUUCUGAAUCAAGCUGACAAGAUUUGGGUACUGCUGUCCUGGAAACUGGAAUAUGU